RNAcentral lists this long non-coding RNA (1189 nucleotides) under Homo sapiens (human). Its description in RNAcentral is "non-protein coding lnc-SOX5-5:2". The record is from RNAcentral. Lineage: Eukaryota; Metazoa; Chordata; Mammalia; Primates; Hominidae.
ACUCUGCAGCAGACGGGGAAGAAAACUCUGGGGCUCCUUCCCUUCGGAUGGAUAGAGAGGGCGGCCGGGCGGCGAGCUGCAAGAAGGAGGUCAGGGUGGGCUUGCGGGAGCUCGGGGGCGACCUGGAGGGAGCGGGAGCCCCCGGCACCGCCCCCGCGCCCCCCCCCCGCCCCCGCCGCACCCCCCGGGGCGGGCGCCGGGCCGCGGUGACCGCCGGCUGGUGCGCUGCCCUCGCCUCCCCCAUUGUUCCUACUGUCUUUUUGCCUUUUGUUAUUUGCACUCGCAUUGUGUUGUUUGUCUCUGAAGCCGCCUCAUGACCAGCAAAGGGAUUUCACCUCGUCCUUGAGAGCAACACGGGGAGCGCGAGCGAGCGGGCGAGCGAGAGACGGGGGGAGAGAGAGGGACACGCGCGCGCACACACACACACACCGGCACACACGCACACACACAGACACACACACACAGAGUGAAAAAGGCGAGCCACCAAAACCCAUCUCCAGUCUCCUCCCGGGGGCCCCCAGCCCGCCUCUGUGCCACUUUGCAUCCCACGCCGGAGGAGGCAUUAACGAGACCGGGCUUUUUAAACGGUCCAAGGUGUAGAGCCAUACUUCAGGAGGAUCCUCAGAAGUUUUGGACAAGCCUCCCCAAAUGUGGCAGGUGCUGUGCUGGCCAUUGGUGACCCAAAGAUGAUGAAAAAUAUGUUCCUGCCCACAAGGAGUUAGCGACCUACUGGGCUUUCCUCUUGCUGAUGACAUGAUUCCUGUUUGAAUCUGUUGACAAGAUUCUGAAAGCUGAACAGAGAAUUCUGGCACUGCACUGGGUAGGAAAAAGCAUUUCAAGAAAUAGAUAAUAUCAAGGACAUCAGGACACCGGGAGUGGGAGAGAUUGGACUGGGAGACUCAGCAGCUCUUCAUGAGAAGAUUCAUGGAAACAAUGUCAAGAAGCUUCUACUUCCAAUUCAUAUGUCAUCUGCCCAAAAGUUGUGAUUCCUAUACUCAACUUGGACCUAAAUCAAAAUGGGAAAUAAGAUAAAAGAAGCAGAAGUGCCAGUAGUCCAUGCUGGGAAUUUUGUCUUAGAGCUAGUCUAUUACUAAUCUAGAGAGUCAUCUAUCUAGGCUACCACAUUUUCAUAAAGAUUGUAAUAGGCAGUCUUAAAGUUUGUCUCUUACUUGAAAUACACCAAGGGCCA